GGGGAAUAUUGGACAAUGGGGGGAACCCUGAUCCAGCCAUGCCGCGUGUGUGAAGAAGGCAUUUUUGUUGUAAAGCACUUUAAGCGAGGAGGAGAGUACUCCUGUUAAUACCAGGAAGUAUUGGACGUUACUCGCAGAAUAAGCACCGGCUAACUCUGUGCCAGCAGCCGCGGUAAUACAGAGGGUGCGAGCGUUAAUCGGAUUUACUGGGCGUAAAGCGUGCGUAGGCGGCUAAUUAAGUCAAAUGUGAAAUCCCCGAGCUUAACUUGGGAAUUGCAUUCGAUACUGGUUAGCUAGAGUAUGGGAGAGGAUGGUAGAAUUCCAGGUGUAGCGGUGAAAUGCGUAGAGAUCUGGAGGAAUACCGAUGGCGAAGGCAGCCAUCUGGCCUAAUACUGACGCUGAGGUACGAAAGCAUGGGGAGCAAAC
This 426-nucleotide ribosomal RNA is filed under the name uncultured bacterium. RNAcentral describes it as "bacterial SSU rRNA". It matches the Rfam family "Bacterial small subunit ribosomal RNA", at positions 356 to 773 of the family's 1533-position model. The record is from RNAcentral.